This 253-nucleotide ribosomal RNA is filed under the name uncultured bacterium. Its description in RNAcentral is "partial 16S ribosomal RNA". It matches the Rfam family "Bacterial small subunit ribosomal RNA", at positions 524 to 776 of the family's 1533-position model. The record is from RNAcentral.
UACGGAGGGGACUAGCGUUGUUCGGAAUUACUGGGCGUAAAGCGCACGUAGGCGGAUUUGUAAGUCAGGGGUGAAAUCCCGGGGCUCAACCUCGGAACUGCCUUUGAUACUGCAAAUCUCGAGUCCGGAAGAGGUGAGUGGAAUUCCUAGUGUAGAGGUGAAAUUCGUAGAUAUUAGGAAGAACACCAGUGGCGAAGGCGGCUCGCUGGUCCGGUACUGACGCUGAGGUGCGAAAGCGUGGGGAGCAAACAGG